Molecule: ribosomal RNA, 2904 nt
Filed under: Escherichia coli
Lineage: Bacteria; Pseudomonadati; Pseudomonadota; Gammaproteobacteria; Enterobacterales; Enterobacteriaceae
Description: 23S ribosomal RNA
Rfam family: Bacterial large subunit ribosomal RNA
Source: RNAcentral
GGUUAAGCGACUAAGCGUACACGGUGGAUGCCCUGGCAGUCAGAGGCGAUGAAGGACGUGCUAAUCUGCGAUAAGCGUCGGUAAGGUGAUAUGAACCGUUAUAACCGGCGAUUUCCGAAUGGGGAAACCCAGUGUGUUUCGACACACUAUCAUUAACUGAAUCCAUAGGUUAAUGAGGCGAACCGGGGGAACUGAAACAUCUAAGUACCCCGAGGAAAAGAAAUCAACCGAGAUUCCCCCAGUAGCGGCGAGCGAACGGGGAGCAGCCCAGAGCCUGAAUCAGUGUGUGUGUUAGUGGAAGCGUCUGGAAAGGCGCGCGAUACAGGGUGACAGCCCCGUACACAAAAAUGCACAUGCUGUGAGCUCGAUGAGUAGGGCGGGACACGUGGUAUCCUGUCUGAAUAUGGGGGGACCAUCCUCCAAGGCUAAAUACUCCUGACUGACCGAUAGUGAACCAGUACCGUGAGGGAAAGGCGAAAAGAACCCCGGCGAGGGGAGUGAAAAAGAACCUGAAACCGUGUACGUACAAGCAGUGGGAGCACGCUUAGGCGUGUGACUGCGUACCUUUUGUAUAAUGGGUCAGCGACUUAUAUUCUGUAGCAAGGUUAACCGAAUAGGGGAGCCGAAGGGAAACCGAGUCUUAACUGGGCGUUAAGUUGCAGGGUAUAGACCCGAAACCCGGUGAUCUAGCCAUGGGCAGGUUGAAGGUUGGGUAACACUAACUGGAGGACCGAACCGACUAAUGUUGAAAAAUUAGCGGAUGACUUGUGGCUGGGGGUGAAAGGCCAAUCAAACCGGGAGAUAGCUGGUUCUCCCCGAAAGCUAUUUAGGUAGCGCCUCGUGAAUUCAUCUCCGGGGGUAGAGCACUGUUUCGGCAAGGGGGUCAUCCCGACUUACCAACCCGAUGCAAACUGCGAAUACCGGAGAAUGUUAUCACGGGAGACACACGGCGGGUGCUAACGUCCGUCGUGAAGAGGGAAACAACCCAGACCGCCAGCUAAGGUCCCAAAGUCAUGGUUAAGUGGGAAACGAUGUGGGAAGGCCCAGACAGCCAGGAUGUUGGCUUAGAAGCAGCCAUCAUUUAAAGAAAGCGUAAUAGCUCACUGGUCGAGUCGGCCUGCGCGGAAGAUGUAACGGGGCUAAACCAUGCACCGAAGCUGCGGCAGCGACGCUUAUGCGUUGUUGGGUAGGGGAGCGUUCUGUAAGCCUGCGAAGGUGUGCUGUGAGGCAUGCUGGAGGUAUCAGAAGUGCGAAUGCUGACAUAAGUAACGAUAAAGCGGGUGAAAAGCCCGCUCGCCGGAAGACCAAGGGUUCCUGUCCAACGUUAAUCGGGGCAGGGUGAGUCGACCCCUAAGGCGAGGCCGAAAGGCGUAGUCGAUGGGAAACAGGUUAAUAUUCCUGUACUUGGUGUUACUGCGAAGGGGGGACGGAGAAGGCUAUGUUGGCCGGGCGACGGUUGUCCCGGUUUAAGCGUGUAGGCUGGUUUUCCAGGCAAAUCCGGAAAAUCAAGGCUGAGGCGUGAUGACGAGGCACUACGGUGCUGAAGCAACAAAUGCCCUGCUUCCAGGAAAAGCCUCUAAGCAUCAGGUAACAUCAAAUCGUACCCCAAACCGACACAGGUGGUCAGGUAGAGAAUACCAAGGCGCUUGAGAGAACUCGGGUGAAGGAACUAGGCAAAAUGGUGCCGUAACUUCGGGAGAAGGCACGCUGAUACGUAGGUGAAGUCCCUCGCGGAUGGAGCUGAAAUCAGUCGAAGAUACCAGCUGGCUGCAACUGUUUAUUAAAAACACAGCACUGUGCAAACACGAAAGUGGACGUAUACGGUGUGACGCCUGCCCGGUGCCGGAAGGUUAAUUGAUGGGGUCAGCGCAAGCGAAGCUCUUGAUCGAAGCCCCGGUAAACGGCGGCCGUAACUAUAACGGUCCUAAGGUAGCGAAAUUCCUUGUCGGGUAAGUUCCGACCUGCACGAAUGGCGUAAUGAUGGCCAGGCUGUCUCCACCCGAGACUCAGUGAAAUUGAACUCGCUGUGAAGAUGCAGUGUACCCGCGGCAAGACGGAAAGACCCCGUGAACCUUUACUAUAGCUUGACACUGAACAUUGAGCCUUGAUGUGUAGGAUAGGUGGGAGGCUUUGAAGUGUGGACGCCAGUCUGCAUGGAGCCGACCUUGAAAUACCACCCUUUAAUGUUUGAUGUUCUAACGUGGACCCGUGAUCCGGGUUGCGGACAGUGUCUGGUGGGUAGUUUGACUGGGGCGGUCUCCUCCUAAAGAGUAACGGAGGAGCACGAAGGUUGGCUAAUCCUGGUCGGACAUCAGGAGGUUAGUGCAAUGGCAUAAGCCAGCUUGACUGCGAGCGUGACGGCGCGAGCAGGUGCGAAAGCAGGUCAUAGUGAUCCGGUGGUUCUGAAUGGAAGGGCCAUCGCUCAACGGAUAAAAGGUACUCCGGGGAUAACAGGCUGAUACCGCCCAAGAGUUCAUAUCGACGGCGGUGUUUGGCACCUCGAUGUCGGCUCAUCACAUCCUGGGGCUGAAGUAGGUCCCAAGGGUAUGGCUGUUCGCCAUUUAAAGUGGUACGCGAGCUGGGUUUAGAACGUCGUGAGACAGUUCGGUCCCUAUCUGCCGUGGGCGCUGGAGAACUGAGGGGGGCUGCUCCUAGUACGAGAGGACCGGAGUGGACGCAUCACUGGUGUUCGGGUUGUCAUGCCAAUGGCACUGCCCGGUAGCUAAAUGCGGAAGAGAUAAGUGCUGAAAGCAUCUAAGCACGAAACUUGCCCCGAGAUGAGUUCUCCCUGACUCCUUGAGAGUCCUGAAGGAACGUUGAAGACGACGACGUUGAUAGGCCGGGUGUGUAAGCGCAGCGAUGCGUUGAGCUAACCGGUACUAAUGAACCGUGAGGCUUAACCUU